This 484-nucleotide ribosomal RNA is filed under the name uncultured bacterium. RNAcentral's name for it is "partial 16S ribosomal RNA". It matches the Rfam family "Bacterial small subunit ribosomal RNA", at positions 29 to 507 of the family's 1533-position model. The record is from RNAcentral.
AUUGAACGCUGGCGGCAUGCUUUACACAUGCAAGUCGAACGGCAGCGCGGGCUUCGGCCUGGCGGCGCGUGGCGAACGGGUGAGUAAUACAUCGGAACGUGCCCAGUAGUGGGGGAUAGCUCGGCGAAGGCCGGAUUAAUACCGCAUACGACCUGAGGGUGAAAGCGGGGGAUCUUCGGACCUCGCGCUAUUGGAGCGGCCGAUGGCAGAUUAGCUAGUUGGUGGGGUAAAGGCCUACCAAGGCGACGAUCUGUAGCUGGUCUGAGAGGACGACCAGCCACACUGGGACUGAGACACGGCCCAGACUCCUACGGGAGGCAGCAGUGGGGAAUUUUGGACAAUGGGCGAAAGCCUGAUCCAGCAAUGCCGCGUGUGUGAUGAAGGCCUUCGGGUUGUAAAGCACUUUUGGCGGGAACGAAAAGGACUGUGCCAAUACCACGGUUCGAUGACGGUACCCGCAGAAUAAGCACCGGCUAACUACGUG